CUCACAUUUCACAAGAAAAAGAGCUAGACUCCGGGGUGAAGGGGAGCCCAGAAACUGAAAGAUGGACUGUCCCUCAGAGACCUGAGUCCUGGCUGCGUUCCCUCCUGAUUUAAUAACUGUGUUGACCUUGGGCAAGUCACUUUUGUGGUACUGUAAACGUUUCUGAAUUAGUCACAGUACUGCGUUUCUUUACCGAGCCUGCCUCUCUUCCAUUCUAAAUAACCCUGAGAGAUGCUUUCUCUUUCAGAAGCAGUUUCACUUUGAAGGGCGAUGGGGACUGCAAUGACACCUCCAGUUCGUUUUCCCGUGCACAGAGAGCAGAAGCCAAGCCUGACCUCCACGCCCAAGGACCAGAUCAUCAGCCUAAGGAAGAAGACAGUGUCGCAUAAUAGAGUCCUUCUACCAAACCUCAGCAACCCAGUUAAGAGGGAUGGCCAAUUUCAGCUGAAAACAGUUCUCUGUCUCUGUCUCUAUCUCUCUGUCUCUCUCUCUCUCUCUCUCUCUCUCUCUCUCUCUCUGUCCAUCUCUCUCAAAACAGGGUCUCUCUGUGUAGUUCAGGCUGGCCUUGAUGUCACUAUUUUGGGAGGAGGAGUUGAACUCAGAACCUCAAACUUGCCAGGCAGGAGCUGCACCACUGAGCUAAACCCUCAGUCCCUCAAAUUCACUGUGUAGCCCAGGCUGACCUCGAACUAACAAUGGUCCUCCUGCCUCAGCCUCUGAAGUGCUGGAAUUAAAGAUGUGCUCCACCAUGCCCUUCUCUCCAUUUUCAAAUUUAGACAGUAAGCAGACUAAUCAAGGGACUGGCCCAAAGGAAACCUUGGUUUGCUGAGCACUGGAGAUAAGAACAACCCAUUGGUUAUUUGAAUUGUGUGGCUUCUCACGUAAUGUGAUUGGUAGGCUCUUCAAACACACUUCUUUUUGAUGUGCUUUGUGGGGGCAGGGCAUUAGUUUGUUGUCCUAUGAAGAUUAAAUGUUCCAGAGCAAUUUUGUUCCUGCUGUGAAUUAAUAAAGAAAAUAAUUUUCCAGUACAGAGUUCAAAGGCUAAAUUCUAGCUCAGCACUCUUUGGACAGUAGGUUCUAGUUAGCGACCCUGCACUGUGCUGUCUGUCUGUUCUCCAAAGCACUUGUCUUUGCUUGAAAACUAACCCAGAUCCUUCAAUUCUUUAUUUGGACUGAAAGAUUUGACUCAACAACAACAAAAACAAAACAGAAAUGAAAACCAAAACAUGUGCAAGAAUGGACUCGGGAGCAGUUUAUGAAUGGUCUACUGGGUAAGGACGAAGUAGGGAGAUGAGAGACAGACAGACAGAGAGACAGAGACAGAGAAACAGAGACAGAGAGGGAGACAGGGCCAGAGAAACAGAGACAGAGAGACACAGAAAGAGAGACAGAAAUAGAGAGAGAGACAGACAGGGAGACAGAGACAGAGAGAGACGGAGACAGAGGCAGAGAGACAGCAAGAGAGAGAGACACACACACGCAGAAAGAGACAGAGACAGACAGAGAGAGAGAGAGAGUUCAUAGUUGUUUUCCACCCCCCAAGACUUUUGCAGUCCCUUGAGAGAAAGAUGAGAAGCAUAAAAAGAAAUUAAAAGGGGAUGGUAAAACCCAUAAACUCCCAUGAAAGUAUAGAUUAA
RNAcentral lists this long non-coding RNA (1637 nucleotides) under Cavia porcellus (domestic guinea pig). Its description in RNAcentral is "lncRNA (ENSCPOG00000038859.1)". Lineage: Eukaryota; Metazoa; Chordata; Mammalia; Rodentia; Caviidae. The record is from RNAcentral.